AGCGCAUAAAGCGCGGUUAACCUACCGCCGCCGUCACGUACAUUUGAAUUAUAUUGUCGUGAAAAUUGUUUCGCGCUAUAUGUUGCGGUUUUACUCUUCCUAACGCGCCUCACCUUCCAUUCCAUUGCCUCUCCGAUACAAAAGUAAUGCCUAAUUACGUAAUCAAGUUGAUGCAAUCACGCGUGCAUGUAAUCGGGCGCCAGAAAUAUGUAAAAAAUAACGUAGAUAUAAUUUUGCUUAAUUGGUAUGCAUUAUCUCGGGAACGAUAAGUGAAUAUAAGUGGCGUACCGUUGCGUCAUGGAGCGCGAUUAAAUUUCCUUUUUUUUUUUGGCGACAGCCACUCGAGGCGCUAAACAUCGAUAGCGAUCGAAAGCUUUGCUUUCCUCGAAAGGAAACGCAAACACUCGUUGGAUUCCUAAUAGCCAAGAUACUGAGGUUCACGGGGCAAGAGAGAAAUAGAGACUAACGGCGCGAAAAAUAUUAUUGCACCGAUAGCGGUUUCCUUCGACGUGACAUAAGCGCGUUUUCUACAGAAAUACCACAAAGCUGCGGUACCGUGGCGCAUGAUUCAUUGAAUGAGAGUUUCGUAAAGUAUAUGCACACUGUUAAAAGCGAGUCCUUGAAACGUUCUCGGAGCCGAAGAAUGCGCACGAUCGACCAACAAAACUUUUGCCGGUAGUUCCGUUAGGCUGCGUUUUGCGCAAGCAAGAACGAACGGGGCUCCUUUUACAUACGUAUGUAUAUAGACAUCCUGCAAAGGUCGACCGUCAGGAUCAAGCCGACGCGAGGUCCUGGAAGCGGAAUAACGGUAAACGCUUUCGUUCCCCCUGGCAUUGACGGCGACUUCGCGUUCGUAGAAUUAAAACCUGUUGUAUCUCACACCUCUCGCGUAUACUCAGAAUUGAAUUGACGGAAAGUUUUAAAGAUAUUGAGCUCCAGUUUUUUUUUCCCCGAAACUUUCGAUAUACGAGAAAAAAAACUUAUCUCGUUUAUAAUUAAAAAACUGUUAAAAUGAUUACUUUUAAUUAUUAACAAUAGAAAAAGUAAUUAGGGAAAAUGAAACCAAUAGGUGAAUGCAAUUUUUUUUCCUCCUUAAACAAGUCUAAGAAUAUAUAGUUGACAUUAGAAUUUUAUGAGUUCCGAGGAUUUAGAGAUGUUUUUCUCGCAUUUUAAUGACCAUCGAUUUUUCUGGCAGCCGAGGAACGUCUUGGUAAACAGAUUCUCUCGCUUCGUACGCGAUCGUGCAACGAAUAUGCAUCGUUCGCGUUUAUUUAUCCUGGACUCUGUUUUUCCGCGGUUUCGUCGGAAAGACACGGACUUCAAAACACUUCUCGCGAACCUGCGCUUUUAGAGCGAAGCGCGCAUAAAACCGCAAUCGUAACUUCUCCUAUGCGCACCUUCCGCGAAGCCAUCUCGAACCUUUUUCCCGAGAAACUUUGUUUAUGAUAAGUCGAUAAUACACGACGUCAUCGUGUUUAUAUUAGAAAGUGUCUAGUACGUGCGUGAGUCAUUAAGUCGCCUCAGUUGUAUCCAAUCCGUGAGGACGCAACACGAUAUUAAUAGGAUGUGACAAACACAAGUGUCUUUAAGAAAAUAUAUAAUUUUUCAACUUACAAAUAAAAACUUUUCUUCAAGUUUAUUAAAGAAGUGUGUUAAAACGAUAAAUCAAUUUUCCUAUUAAGAUUCCACAUUUAUUAUUACAUAAAUAUAACAGAAAAAUGUUUACGUAUAAAUAAUGCUAUACUAAUAAAAAUAUCUUUGUGAAAAAAACUUGAUAUAUGAAAAUAGAUUUCGAUGGUUAGCAAAGAAGCACUCGUUCAAAAGAGCAUAGGUUUCGCCAUAUAUACGUGACGCGAUUUUCGAAGCACGAUAAACGUACCACUUUCGGUCUCUCUCUUGAAUCAACUGUUCAGUCGUGCGCUUAUUUCCGCCGUCUGCACCGAGCAAUAAAAAUCAUUGAUUUUUCCCUGUGUAUUGAGAAGUCUUAGCAGCGACGUAUAACUCGCAUUGAUCGGAUUUGCCGAUGGCUUUCGUCGGAUGUCUCACCCUCUGUUCACGAAUCGAUUACUGACCGGUCUUAAAGGAAAGCCUCAUGGUGGCAAUUACACGGCGGGUUUAUCAAGCUCGGAGGAGCAUUGAGCACGUGGAAGAUUUUCUCUCUUAUUCUCGGACUUUAUCCAUGAAAACGAAAGAAAAAGAAAGAGUGAAUGAGAGGAAGACAGAGAGAGAGAGAGACUGAGAUAAGAAGAUAUUCCGCAAAAGAAGCGUUAUCGCAGACUGGAAACUUCAUUCAUUUUAAUUAAUGUAUUUAUACAUUCAAUAAUUUGCAGAUUAAGGAAGUAUUUAUUGCCUGAUUUUUAAUGUAUUUAUCAUCCAUUGACUAACUCUAAAAGAUAUUCGACUUUGACUUCUAAAGUCAAUUAAUAAAAUUACGCUUCUAUCAAAUUUAAGUUAUAUCAGGUUUAAAUAAGAUGAAUAGAAAGGGGGGGAAAUAGUGCUCUCUUUAUAAAAAAAGAAAUAUUACAACUUUUUGUGACAUAUUUGUGCAAAAAUAUAUGCGCAUUAUAAGUAAUUAUACGAAAAUCUUACCAUGAUAAAAAAUCGGCAAAAAGAAAGUGUAACAGACAAAGGAUUCGCGAUAAAAAGCUUCGUAGUCCAUUAUUAACUAUGUUUAAUCUACUUUACGAGGGGAAAGUUCACACUGUGCUCGCGCUGUGCGCGAUUGUUUGCCUCGUCUCGGUUAACUCGUUCCUCCCAGCCAUUUCUCUCGGGCGUAAUCGAGAAACUGAUCAGCGCGGCGCGACUCCGUGCAUUAUUAAAGAUCAAACAGAGUGUUGCAAAAAAAAAUAAAAAUAUCCGAUGCUAUGACCCGCGGGUCGCGAAUUACUUAUCGGUCAUCGAUGCUCUCAAAGCGAAUUUUUUAGGAAGCAUCGAUUGAUUCUUUCAACAAGAGACCAAUUUGUUCUUGAACUUUGCAGCCUGAUAAAUCGUAGUUCCACGAUGAGUCGCGCGAUCAGUGAAAUAAAGUUAUGUUAAAUAGAUGAAUAGACAGAUAGAAAUAUUUGUUCAGCGCUCUGGAACAAAGCCAACUCCUUCGACGCCCGACAGAAAUUGUGUAAAGUGUCUCAGAUGAUAAAUAUUUGAAAGACAGGAACAAUUUCGAUGCGCCGGCGACAAUAAAAAUCUCAAGAAAUCUUAUGUUAAAAUUUAACUCAAAUAUUCUUUUUUUUCAGUGAAUGAAAUAUAUUUUACAAAUGCAUAUGUCUUGCAACAAAAAUAAUAAAAAAUAUAAAGUGAUCAUUUUUAUCAUCGUAAACAUGUGGCAUUGUUUUCGAUUAGCAAAUUGACUAUCGGACUCUUUUCUUUCGCUAAAAAAAUUUUGCAAACAUUUAAAAUAAAAUGAAUAAUUAAUAAAAAUGAGCAUAACAAUGCCGCUUAUACAAACGAUGCUUUUACAGGUUUCGGUCCAUCCGCUCGACAUCGAAAGCUAGCAAUGUCAUUUUAUGGCCAAAGGGAAGGACGUACCUUAGAAUUGACAAACGUUCUCGAUUAGUUUCGAUUUCAACGAAAUUUUGGGGAGUCACGGGCAAAGAGGAAGACAAACGCGCGACGCGACGACGAGUCGCGGCCAUCGUGGAAGCAUUCAGGGAAUUUCGCCAAUUAAAAUCGACGGACGACACGACGGCGCGCGCGAUAAAAAGUUCCGGCGCCAGGGAAAGGGGUUGGGGAAGGAAGAGCCAGGGAGUGGAGGACCUCCAAGCCCUUCGAUGCAAAAGGACACGUCUCCACUUCUCGAUCGAUUACCACUGUCUUCCGCCUCCGCCGCCGAGGCGAGGGGGUGAAAACGCCUCAUAAUUACCAAGAGCAUUCGUUCGCUCCGCCGCUUCUCGGAUAUUCGUAUUUCUUGGAGAGAACGCGAGACGAUCGAGCGCGUAUAACUUUGAAAUCGGAAAGUUUUUCUUCGUCGACGGCAUACGUGUAUUCUCUCGGGAUUCGGCUGCGGAUAUUGGAGUCUCCGACAACGAUUGUACAUUGCAGUCUAUUCGUUCCGAGGAAGUGCAAGAGAUCGGCAUUUAUAUUAUAAAGUAUUACCAAGGUACUCGUCACAAUAUCGUAUUAUUAUUAUUUAACAACUCUGUAUCAUUCCUAUGUAACAUAAGCAACAAAUUUAUUUUAAAAUACAGACUUGGGAUUUUUAUUCUAAAA
Molecule: long non-coding RNA, 4206 nt
Filed under: Monomorium pharaonis (pharaoh ant)
Lineage: Eukaryota; Metazoa; Arthropoda; Insecta; Hymenoptera; Formicidae
Description: uncharacterized LOC105836318
Source: RNAcentral